Molecule: long non-coding RNA, 528 nt
Organism: Triticum dicoccoides
Lineage: Eukaryota; Viridiplantae; Streptophyta; Magnoliopsida; Poales; Poaceae
Exons: 2
Source: RefSeq, a predicted model, not a curated record
AAUUUCAUGCUUGCUUACUUGCUUUUGGGACUAUUUAUUCUUGGAGUCAUGGGAGUGGUCAAGAUGACAGGACUGUUAUGCCUGUUCUUGCUCAUGCCACUUUUAGUUCCUGGUUCGGAAGCAAAGAUGUGCACUCGAGAUAGCCGGACCUAUACGUCUGUACCAUGCAAGCAUGAUCCUUGUGUUGAUGCAUGCCACAAGGAGGGCUCUAUCGAAGGGUUUUGUUACCUAUUCUUCGGAGCUUGUACAUGCCAAUGUGAGUGUUGAAUAAGAAACAUGUUGCAACUAUCAUAGGGUGUGUGUAACAAAUAAUAAUGUUGAGUAGUAUGAUGACUUGACAAUGGGCAAUGCAAGAGGUUGAGAAUCUACCAAAUAUUCCUUAAUUCUAUAUCUACUAAAGGAGGGUGCGUUUCUCCAAAUGUUUGGAUUGUCCCUACGUCACAUGUGCCAGAAUUAUUGAUGUGGGUCGAGCCAUGUAAGUGGGCUUCCUAUUUUAAUGGGAAAUAGAAAAAUGGUGAGUCAAUUACA